CCUACGUGGGGCAGCAGUGAGGAAUAUUGGUCAAUGGACGCAAGUCUGAACCAGCCAUACCGCGUGCAGGAAGACGGCUCUAUGAGUUGUAAACUGCUUUUGUACGAGGGUAAAUCCCGAUACGUGUACCGGGUUGAAAGGUUCGUACGAAUAAGGAUCGGCUAACUCCGUGCCAGCAGCCGCGGUAAUACGGAGGAUUGAGGCGUUAUCCGGGUUUUGUGGGUUUAAAGGGUGCGUAAGCGGAUCGAUAAGUUAGAGGUGAAAUCCCGGGGCUCAACCCCGGCACUGCCGGUGAUACUGGGGGGCUAGAGUUUAGUUGCGGUAGGCGGAAUGUAUGGUGUAGCGGUGAAAUGCAUAGAGAUCAUACAGAACACCGAUUGCGAAGGCAGCUUACCAAACUACGACUGACGUUGAGGCACGAAAGCGUGGGGAGCAAACAGGAUUAGAUACCCGGGUAGUC
This 460-nucleotide ribosomal RNA is filed under the name uncultured bacterium. Its description in RNAcentral is "partial 16S ribosomal RNA". It matches the Rfam family "Bacterial small subunit ribosomal RNA", at positions 338 to 795 of the family's 1533-position model. The record is from RNAcentral.